Molecule: ribosomal RNA, 547 nt
Filed under: uncultured Glomeromycotina
Lineage: Eukaryota; Fungi; Glomeromycota
Description: SSU rRNA
Rfam family: Eukaryotic small subunit ribosomal RNA
Source: RNAcentral
UUGGAGGGCAAGUCUGGUGCCAGCAGCCGCGGUAAUUCCAGCUCCAAUAGCGUAUAUUAAAGUUGUUGCAGUUAAAAAGCUCGUAGUUGAAUUUCGGGAUUAGUACGCUGGUCGUGCCUUCGGUACGUACUGGUGUUACUGAUUCCUACCUUCUGACGAACCAUCAUGUCAUUAGUUUGGUGUGGUGGGGAAUCAGGACUGUUACUUUGAAAAAAUUAGAGUGUUUAAAGCAGGCUCGCGCUUGAAUACAUUAGCAUGGAAUAAUGAAAUAGGACGUUGAUCCUAUUUUGUUGGUUUCUAGGAUUGACGUAAUGAUUAAUAGGGAUAGUUGGGGCAUUAGUAUUCAAUUGUCAGAGGUGAAAUUCUUGGAUUUAUUGAAGACUAACUACUGUGAAAGCAUUUGCCAAGGAUGUUUUCAUUAAUCAAGAACGAAAGUUAAGGGAUCGAAGACGAUCAGAUACCGUCGUAGUCUUAACCAUAAACUAUGCCGACUAGGGAUCGGAUGAUGUUAAUUUUUUAAUGACUCAUUCGGCGCCUUACGGGAAAC